Phalacrocorax carbo (great cormorant) is the source of this 747-nucleotide non-coding RNA. Lineage: Eukaryota; Metazoa; Chordata; Aves; Suliformes; Phalacrocoracidae. The record is from RefSeq and is a predicted model, not a curated record.
GGGGUGGGUCACAGGCCCUGGGGACAGCCAGGCCCCAAUAGGGGUCACAGGUCCCGGGGGUGGCAGGUCCCCAGGGGGGGUCACAAGCCCUGGGGGUGUAAGUGCGCUGGGGAGUCCAGCCCCCCCAGCUGUGCAGUGCAGCGGUGUGAGGGGUCCUGGCUUUGCCCUCUUGGUAACGUCCCAGUGCUGUGUGUCCCACGAUGGAGGGGUGGCCCCACAGUGCCAGACCUGCCUCGUGGGCAGUGACACGGGUGGUGCUGUGUGGACAAGGGAGCCCACAGAGAUCCCGGGUCCCCAGGGGCUGGUGGGACCGGUGGCAGGACAGAGACCCCGCAGCAUCUGCGUGCCUGGUUCGGGAAGCUGCAGGCAGGAGGAGCAAGCUUUCCAGGCGUGCCACACGUGCCCCCAGCUGCAACUCCAGGGAGGGACGUUUGGUUCUCCUCUGUAGCAUUCACAGCUCGGGGGGUCACUUCUUAUCGCAUGAACAAGGUGGCUGAGCAGCUCCGGCUAUGUAAUGGGGAAAGAAACCCGUCACCUGCACACAUGCUACCUGAAACGGAGACCGGCACAGGCGGAGCAGAAGCUGCUGUAAACAUGGGCUGAACCGGAGCCGUUUCUCCGUGUGCUCUGCCGCAGCCUGGCUGAAUCCUCUGGCCUCAGCCCUACCGAAUUGCGCGGUUCGCUGCAGAGCCCAGAGCUGAAUGGCUAAUUCCUGUCUUUCAUUAAAAAAUAGCUAAUAAAUAGCCA